Molecule: long non-coding RNA, 5337 nt
Filed under: Sus scrofa (pig)
Lineage: Eukaryota; Metazoa; Chordata; Mammalia; Artiodactyla; Suidae
Description: lncRNA (ENSSSCG00025038499.1)
Source: RNAcentral
CCCCAUCGAAGUGUUUUAUUAGGCGAAUUAAACAGCUUAAAGACGAUUCUCUUGUUCGGUACCCUUCUAGAAAAUAUUUCAAGUUUUAAAUGAACUUCCGAUACAUAAAACAAAAUUUACUUUACCAUAGACAAAUUUCAGAUCAAAAUACAACACUCUGUUUCUGUUUUCUUACAGUUAUAAAAGCCCGUCGAUACAAACUACAUAAAAAAGAUAAAACACUUUCACUGAUCCUUGGUACAAGAGAACAGCACAAUUGCAGUAUGUCCCCAAAGCACAAACCCUGUGCUCGUGAAACGGGAUCAACCCCACGGUUACCCCACAAUCAAAUGAAGCAGGUAAACAAAGCACGUGCUACUUAAUUCAAGAAGUUAACACACCCUCUUUGCAUCAGUAUUAUUUGUAAACCAUAAAGCGACUUGGUAAGAAAGGUUACUAAGUCCAAAUUACUUCAGCAUCACGAAAAUGUCAUACCGGCAACGGAAUAGAAAAUUACUUCUGCAGAACAAACGAAUCCACUUGGACCAGAGGAUGCUGGAGACAGGACAUUUCAAUGAAAGCACAUCACCGCAAUUUACUUCUCUGCUAUCCUACUGAAUGCGGGGAGUCUAAUUCUACAGGUUGCAACUUCCCAGUGCUUCAAAGAGUUUAAACUUUCUACAUCAUGUCUUCUGUCUAGCUUAUGUAUAUAGCGCAUUGCAAAGCUCCGGUUUUCUCAGCAGCAGGUCUUUCUUUAAAAAUCUGGAUCCCUCAGUGCACACAACAUAACCUCAUCUGGGUACACGUCAACGUAGACUCCUCAACUUGGACCCUUACCAGAUAAUAAGAGCUGCAGGGUUUAAAUUAAAAAACUAUUCUAUAGGCACGCCACGUCAGAAACUAAGAGAUACACUAACUAAGCAAAGAUCUGUGUUUAAGAGGAUGAAUUCUGAUACGGAACUUCGGGAAGUCGGUACUCAAGGACGCCAUGGUAUUAAAAGCAUCAAAAAGACAGAAUCGAGAGUGUGCUACAACCUGACCAGGGUGACCGUCACGUACAGCGGCUGGUCCCAUGCAGACAACCCGUCAACGGGAGGGUUGCUGGUGGUUCUGCUGGACCAGAGCCCGCUGUGAAGGUGAGCCCUGAACUUGGGAGGGUCAAGCUGAAUUUACAGUCCUGUUUUAAGGAGUUCUCUUGGUCGUCUUCUCUCGGAGCAGAAGACGGCCCUGGUGAUAGAAAACGUUUAGAAUGAGUGAUGGAUGGACCUGGUUCACAGACAGGGACACGCAUCUCUGUCACCAGGAACGCACAGUGAGAAAGCGAAGUCUGCCAGAGCCUGCUUGAGGGGCUCCUAAAAGCCAGUGUCUGAGGAGCGGGGAGUGAAGGGGUGGGGUAGGGAGGGGCUCUUGUUUAAUCCACGGAUCCCUCCCAGCUCCGCUGCUGCAACUGCAGAAUGGGCUCUAACGGGUGUUCCAAAGUUCUGCCGAAAGCAUGGUUAUUUUUCAUGGUCGUCACAAUGCACAAAUGGUACGAUUCAGAGUGGAACAAGUGUCACGACGUCACUAGCGACGUGAAGGGGGACAGGAAGGAGGAACCACACAAAAGCUGGGUUAUAGGUGAGUCAAAAUGAGAGAAUCCCAUCAGCAGACAACGCCACUGACGCUCAAUUAAUUAGGGGAGCAUUGCUAACCGGCCCGCACUUUUCUCAUCCAGAGGCCACUUAAUACACUUCCCACCCUAAGGUAUCUCCUCGUGGAAUCUGGUGAUCUCCGAUGUCAUGCGCAACUAUCACAUGCAGGUUCCCCUACAGGAAAACGAUGCUGUAAACUCACCAACAUUGGAGGCUUAUUUUUAAGGUGAUGACACCCUUUGGCCCCACGUACCAGAUCCUACGUAAUUUUUUACAAAAAGCAUAAAGAGUCAAAUUCAACGAGCGAAUGCAGAGAUGACAAGAGUACACUUAUUUUCUGGAGUUUCUUCUGAAGCAAAAAAAUCCUUUUGAAAAAAAAGCCAUGAGAAGAUGCUUCUCUUCUCGUACACAAGCAAUUCUGGUGUCUGAUUUUAGUCUCAGCUGGGAGUGCGGUGGGUUCUGAAGUCAGAGCUAAAGCAGAGGAGACACAGCCUUGCCCUGCUCUCAGGAACCCACGGGGGGUGGCAGACGCCGUGGGGCCUGCGUGGCGCCUGAAGGCCGGGUGCUGAGGUAGUGCGUGCGGCGUCUGGAGCCCCUCUGUCUGGCUCCAGGACAGAGCCCUGAGAACCUCGGGGGCAGAUGGGGAAGGGGCGGGGGGGCAACUCGGGCCUCGGAGAGGCUGUUCUGGUCAAGCUGCUGAAGGAGCUCAAAGCUGCACUUGGCCACGCGGGGGGCUGGGGGAGGUCGGCCCAGCCGGCUGCCCCCGCCCAUCCCCUGACAGCCUCUCAGGCCCCGGGGGCAGCCAGGCCCUGCUGAAAAGAUGGUCACUCGGCAGCUUUCCUAAGCCUGCAGAGAUCCUGAGAGAUUUAGGAAAAACAGCACAGAGAAAGCAGGAAUCACUGUUCUAGGUGACAGCACGGUUUGAGGGCCAUCUCUAGAAAUAUGUUUGUUUCUGAGGGUUCUGCUGCUGCAGCUGUGGCCAGAGUCAAGGGAAGGCGAGUGGGGGGGGGGCAGCGAGGACCGGGGCGGCGGGGGGUGGGGGGUGGCAUGGCGAAAGGACAAAGACGCCUCUCAAAGACAAGGUGCGAGUUAGAGGACGAGCCUUGCUCGCCUUCCCACUUUGUCACUAACCUGCUCGCCCAACCUCCUGUCUGCAAGAAGCUUUGCGGACUGGGACCCCUCUCCUGGCACCAAGCAGGACUCCUCUCGCUGACACCGAGACCCUGGCAGUCCCGGGCGCUGGGGGCCACCGAGGGGAUGGCCCUCGGAGCUGAGCCCAGCGCUGCAGGGCCCGUUGUCUUACCAGGCAACUCUCGGUGACAGUUCUGAAGCUGAUGGACACGUCCUGCCUCUACAGCUUUUGUCUGGUGGCCUGAGCGAGGCGCUCUGCUCGUCCCGAGGGCCGGAGCCUGGCCGCCAACCCAGCUGCCAUCCUCCAGGUGGCCUCGAGGCUGGCUCAGCCUCUCUGGCGGAGGUGCGGGGCCCGGGGGCCCGGCGUGCGCGAAGCUGCAGAGCCACCUUUCUGGCUCCCGCCCCCACGCAGACCAGGGCACCGGGCUUGGGUGAAGCGGUUGGCUCAUGUUCACAUGAUCCGCGAUUCCCGCCUGCCCCGCUCUUUCUCUCCCCUUCACAUGGGAACCAUCUUCUCUGAACCUGGACAUGAGGCUACACUUAGCCACGUGAUUAGACUCUAAAAAGCACUGCAGAGCCUGGCACCCAGCACUGAAUUCCGCCACCACUUUCCUCUGCUGUCUGUAUUUUUACACAAGUUACUAAUGAAAACGUUAAAAACAGACACUGCUCGAGUGGCUCCACCGACGACGCCAAGGCUGCGAUCGGGUCAGCGCUGCCCGGUACUUCUCAGCCCUCUCACGUCUGCUUCUACUUCCUUUUCUCAAUCACAAAAAUACCAGGAAUGACUUUAUCAAAUGUCUAACUGAAAUCAAGAUAAGCUGGGUAUGUCACGUACCUGCUAAAUCCGCCAGUCUGUGAUCUGAACUGGAGAGGAAGGGAUUUUAUAAAAGGAUUAACCAGUUCACUUUGGGGAUCAGUUUCUUAAAUAACCCUUCUUUAUCUGAAGGUACAGAAAUUACACACACAUACAACAUAAAGUUUGUUUUUAAGUUUCACAUAACAUUCAAGCUCAGGAGUUCCCUUCAUGGCUCAAUGGUUAACAAACCCGACUAGGAUGCGUGAGGAUGGGAGUUUGCUCCCCGGCUUCGCUCAGUGGGUUAAGGAUCUGGCACUGCCAUGAGCUGUGGUGUAGGUUGCACAUGUGGCUCAGAUCCCGCGUUGCUGUGGCUGUGGUGUAGGCCAAUAACUAUAGCUCCGAUUCGGCCUCUCGCCUGGGAACUUCCAGGUGUCAUGUGAGGUGGCUCUAAAAAGCAAAAAAAGCAAAAAAACCAAAAAACAUCCAAGCUCAGAAAGCAUCGUUUAGGUCUACUGAUCUCAAACAGAGGUCUUAAAAUAUCCUUAUCUGACCAAUGAAGACAACUACCUUUGAUAUUUCAAGGAAAGAAGAAAAUUCCAACUUCAGGAAAGAGUUUUAAAUAUUAGAGUACUUCAUUAGGCAAAUCCUGAAAUAAGAGAUAUUUAUGACCACUCUAAACAUUCUAAACAUGUAUUUUGGGGUUUCUACUCUCUAGAGUUAUUGUGAAUUUAGGUAUUGGAGAAGCAGAGCAGAAUCACGGAUCCAGAAAUUAACUAAAUUUGUAAAAGCAAAUGCACACAUACUAGUGGACCCUGGGGUGGCAGACAGGAGAAUGACAGGGCGCUGAGGCCAGAGUGGCUGGGGGCAGGCAGUGCGGGCCCCAAAGCUGCUGACGGCAUACGUCACUCCAGGCUGGUGGGUGGCAGCAGCAGCCACGGUCUUUAGUGGCCCAGUUCUCACCUUCCUCACUCUGCUGCCCCCUCUCAGCAAGCCUGGCAGGGAAACACCUGUUACCUGCUUGUACAGGGAAGAGCUGGAGCCUCAGGGUCAAAGGGCUUCCAAGCUCACAGAGCAGUCGGCGUCUUCAAGCCCACGUGCACCUGCAGCGAGACCCACGGGUGCUCAUGACCACUGGGCUCGCCUGGGACAGGACACGGCCCAUUUACAGACACUGUCCUCAAAAAUAACUAAAAUGGGAAAGCUGGGGCUUUCGACGGGUGAGCCUCGUUUCUCAGGAAACCACUCGGGGGGAUCCCCCGUGACUGAUGCUGGACGUGCUGCCACCCGAGGAGAACUUAGCUGAACUCUGCCGUCGGCAGCAAGCCCUUUCGUCUAAAAAGCGCGAGCAUAAAUGUGAUCUCUCAUUCAUGCACAGGGGCAGUUAAGGUUUUAGAUUUUACCCAGUAUGGAAGUUACGCCUCGUACACUAAGUUUUCAGGAAGGGGCAUAUCUCUUUUGAUCAUGAGUGGUACCGGGUAAUUCCUAGAAGAAAUCACCCCCAGGAGGGGUCUGUCUAUAAGAACUGAUGCCCCCACAGCUGCCCCUAACUUACCCACCAGCUAAGCUGACACAUGCGGGGCGGACAGCGCCCACGUGUGCCCUGUAGAGGCGCUGCAGGGGGAAGCUGGGGACGCUCCACGGACACAAACCGAAGCUGAUAGCUUGUGAUGGCAAGUAUACUUCGAUACUGUGUUGUUCGGUCACCUCAAACCUGCACUUUGGGAACAUGCCAGUGUUUCCUUUUCAAACCCCAGGUUGUGAGAACUAAAAGAGGACAGGAGCUUUGUGAUGAGCCCU